GAGGGUCGAGUUUGGUGUUUGGGCCACAAGCCCAAUUCCCCCAAACACCAAAAGGAACCAGUUCAUCAUGAUCAAGAACUCGCUUGAAGAAAUUCACGAACCGAAACCUGCGCACGCGGACAAGAAGUUGUUGCAGAAGCUCGUUGAUUCCCCUUCAAACAGAACCAUCACGCAUUCAGACCCGCGUAAACCCCAUCAUCUUCCUCUCGAUUCGACGUCGGUGCCAAGAAAUCAAAAACGGCGCAAGAGAACUCCACUUCGGAAUCGUCCCAAUCUCACGCUAAGAGCUACGCAUUUGACGAACGAUUUCGACUUCUCCUUCCACAAAGAACCAAGGUACGAGUUCGAAGCAAGAAUGGGACAAACGAAGGGAGAAGAAGCUUACCGGAUUUGAUGUGGAAACCAUAUAACUCGUGUUUUAAUUUUCUUCUUUCUCUAUGCUUCGGUUGUUGUUAUGUGUUCCCGAAUCGUUAUGUGUGAUGAGAAAAGAUCAUUUUAGAAGCAGGGAGUGUUGAAGAAUGAAGAUGUUGUGGAUUCAAGAUGCGCCCCUCUCGAUUUCUUGUCACGAUUUUGUCGCUGAGCCUCCACUGCAGAAUGGUAUGCUUCUGUUAGUUUCUUCUUUUUCCGUUUCUCGGUUUCUUUCUGCUACUCUCUUCUUCUUCCGUUUCUCGGUUUCUUUCUGCUAUUGUGGUUGUGGUUAGUUGGUUGGUUAUCGAAGUGUUGUUACGGUGAAGGGAUUGGAAUGGAGAGGUUCGGUUGGUGGUUGGAAUUGGAAGUUGGACGAAGUGAAUUCUGUUGAGUUUUUGUUGCAGGGUGAGAGCCGGUCACAGAGUAGUUGGUUAGAAGGGUUUGAGAGAAAAAAAUGGUUAGCCGUUGUUGUUGAGGGAAGUUAUGAUUUUUAUCAGUUGGAGGGAGUUUCGGUUAUAUGAGAUUUUUGUUAGGGAUUGGUGGUUGUUAUAGGUUGAAGAAGUUAUGAAGAAGCAGUUCUGGUUGUUAUGAAGGUUCAGGAUUUUGGCUUAGAAUUAUGCAGGUUUGGAAUGACUCUUGUUGAGAUUUCUUUUUUUCUUUUCUCUGUUAUGCUUCUGUCAUUUGGAUUUUCUGGAAAUUCCGUUUUUGGAGAUUUCUUCAGAAGGAUUUCCACCAAUCGGUUUUUUUCAUUGGUGAUGGUUUUAUGUUGGAGUAAAGAGUUCAGGAGUUCCUUGAAGGGUGGUAAGAAAAUGGUUUAAAAAGUUGGUUAUGGAGAAGUUGACGGAAACUCCGUUAGAAGUUUGUUGUAUAUGUAUUAAGGAGUGGAGGUUCUGUUAUAUAUUUUGUUAGAGGUUUUGGUUUUCAGUUGGAAAUUCGGUUAUUUGGUUAGAGCAUUUUGUUAUAGGGUGGUUUGGGUUGUUACAAAUGUGGAAGCUCAUUGGUGUAUUAGGAGAAAACAGUUAGAAGUUUGUUAUUUAUGUUUAUGAAAUUGUUUCGGUUGCCGGUUAAAAACAGUUUUGUUAUGCUUUCUUCUUCUGUUAUGAGAUUGGUUAGUUUAUAAUCAUCCGGUAAUUCCACCAGCAGUACCCCAUCAUACAGAAAACAAGCCUUCUUUUCAUCUUCCCAAGCAAAAAGCCACUUAUCAAUCCUAUCGGUUACGUUUCUUCUACUUAAAGCUUCAUCUUUAGCUUUCACUAUCUGUGCUUCAAUGCUAGCUAUUAACUCACAAGGAUCAACCAGACCAGAAUCUAUUAAUGGACUAGCUUUCUCGGCAACAGUACCGGUAUCAGGUUUUUGGCUCAAGAUGCAGGGCUUGAACUCAAUAGCUAAUGAAAGGCUUUGAAUGGGCUUUAUUGGAAUUGGAUGCUUGGACCGUUUGGAUUUCUAUGGAAUUCUUCGGCCUUAUGGGAUAUUGUUGUAAUGAUUUAUGUUAUGAAUUUGAAAUUAUUGUAAUGUUUAUGGUUGUAAUUAAAUGUAAUUUAGAAAUUGAAAUUGUGAUAGAAUUGAUGUAUCAUGAUUGAAUUGGAAUGGACUAUGGAUGUAUUGGUUGAAAAUGAAAGGUAUUGAAAAUGGUUAUUGGAUUGAAUCAAA
Molecule: long non-coding RNA, 2058 nt
Organism: Lathyrus oleraceus (garden pea)
Lineage: Eukaryota; Viridiplantae; Streptophyta; Magnoliopsida; Fabales; Fabaceae
Exons: 2
Source: RefSeq, a predicted model, not a curated record